This 458-nucleotide ribosomal RNA is filed under the name Granulicatella adiacens. RNAcentral's name for it is "bacterial SSU rRNA". It matches the Rfam family "Bacterial small subunit ribosomal RNA", at positions 28 to 475 of the family's 1533-position model. Lineage: Bacteria; Bacillati; Bacillota; Bacilli; Lactobacillales; Carnobacteriaceae. The record is from RNAcentral.
GACGAACGCUGGCGGCGUGCCUAAUACAUGCAAGUCGAACGAGAGCGACCGGUGCUUGCACUGGUCAAUCUAGUGGCGAACGGGUGAGUAACACGUGGGUAACCUGCCCAUCAGAGGGGGAUAACAUUCGGAAACGGAUGCUAAAACCGCAUAGGUCUUCGAGCCGCAUGGCUUGAAGAGGAAAAGAGGCGCAAGCUUCUGCUGAUGGAUGGACCCGCGGUGCAUUAGCUAGUUGGUGAGGUAACGGCUCACCAAGGCAGUGAUGCAUAGCCGACCUGAGAGGGUGAUCGGCCACAUUGGGACUGAGACACGGCCCAAACUCCUACGGGAGGCAGCAGUAGGGAAUCUUCCGCAAUGGACGCAAGUCUGACGGAGCAACGCCGCGUGAGUGAAGAAGGUUUUCGGAUCGUAAAACUCUGUUGUUAGAGAAGAACAAGUGCUAGAGUAACUGUUAGCGC